This 710-nucleotide long non-coding RNA is filed under the name Musa acuminata (dwarf banana). RNAcentral describes it as "long non-coding RNA (MACU_LNC003150)". The record is from RNAcentral. Lineage: Eukaryota; Viridiplantae; Streptophyta; Magnoliopsida; Zingiberales; Musaceae.
AUGUCUUCUCCUCUCCCUGAUCUCUCUCCGCCUUCAAUUUGAACUGCCUGCAGGAGUCACGAGGAAUGGCGAACUUUGUUGAGCUGAAAACUUCCGGCGACCAUGAAACGAGAGAGAGAGAGAGAGAGUUCGUACUUGCAGAGAGGGACUUUGCAGGAUGCAGUUUGAUCGCAGAGGGAGGAGUGGAGGCGGCAGAGCCGCCUCAUUCUCGUGCAAUGUGGGCAGCACUUUGGGACCAACUUAUUGUCGCAGGUGGCGUAGUGGCGGAGGAGGUGUUGCAGUCUCUGGCACGUGAGAGGACUCUUGCACGGGGACUUCUUCCCGCUCGAGGCCUCGUCCGCGCAGCCGCCGGCGAAUGUGUGUUGCAGGCAAUCCAUUGCCUCGCCUAAUAUCUGGUACAUCUCCUGGUUCGCUCGUUCUCUUCUCCAUCGCUUCUUUCUCUGCAUGUUCAUGCGGGAUCGGGAAUGAGUACUCGAACUAAUCCUUCGCCGGAAACUGCAUAGAGUCCAAGACGUUUCCUGGGCAAUGCCUUUCCGAUAGGAUUACAUGCGUCCAUGUGCAGGUCACGAACCUGGUCGGCUUCCUCCAAGAACUGGAGGAUCUCGAGCUCGAGUGCGGGGUCAUGCUUCUGAACGAAUCGCCACCCCUCCGUCUGCUGCACCGCCGCAAAGUCCUUCGCCACCUGCCUCAUGCACCGCUGACGCAGCCAC